RNAcentral lists this ribosomal RNA (499 nucleotides) under uncultured bacterium. RNAcentral's name for it is "partial 16S ribosomal RNA". It matches the Rfam family "Bacterial small subunit ribosomal RNA", at positions 28 to 507 of the family's 1533-position model. The record is from RNAcentral.
GACGAACGCUGGCGGCGUGCCUAAUACAUGCAAGUCGAGCGGACUUUCAAGAAGCUUGCUUUUUGAAAGUUAGCGGUGGACGGGUGAGUAACACGUGGGCAACCUGCCUGCAAGACGGGGAUAACUCCGGGAAACCGGGGCUAAUACCGGAUAAUAUCUUCCUUCGCAUGAAGGAAGGUUGAAAGGCGGCGCAGGCUGCCGCUUGCAGAUGGGCCCGCGGCGCAUUAGCUAGUUGGUGAGGUAACGGCUCACCAAGGCGACGAUGCGUAGCCGACCUGAGAGGGUGAUCGGCCACACUGGGACUGAGACACGGCCCAGACGCCUACGGGAGGCAGCAGUAGGGAAUCUUCCGCAAUGGACGAAAGUCUGACGGAGCAACGCCGCGUGAGCGAAGAAGGUCUUCGGAUCGUAAAGCUCUGUUGUCAGGGAAGAACAAGUACCGUUCGAACAGGGCGGUACCUUGACGGUACCUGACCAGAAAGCCACGGCUAACUACGUG